Long non-coding RNA from Alnus glutinosa, 2047 nucleotides. RefSeq lists it as uncharacterized. NCBI's taxonomy places the organism in Eukaryota, Viridiplantae, Streptophyta, Magnoliopsida, Fagales, Betulaceae. The record is from RefSeq and is a predicted model, not a curated record. The transcript has 2 exons.
ACCCAUAACCCAUGUCAUAACAGUUGAAGGGAAUAUUUAAUAUUCAGACUUAAUUAUAUACUAAGAGAAGGAAUAUUGAAUCUUCCUUGGCCAAAUUCCUCUAAACCGGUUGGAUUUUUACCGGAGUCAACCUAUAACGCCAAAUUCAUCGUUUGUUGCUCCAAAACUUGUCGGAAAACCCGAAUUCCGGCCGAUGAGGAUCCGUGACCCGACCCGGGACAAUUUUUGUGUGUUUUUCUUCAAUUGAUCGCGCAAAGUUGCUGGAAAUGAAUAUCAAAAGUUUACCUUGCCGGAAUGAAUAGCCAAGCUGAGGUCUCGGAAAAUCUGAACAUCUGGCCUAGAUGGAUAUUUAAAGCUUACAUGACUAAGCUCAAUUUCUCCCUUCAGAUUAUCCAUUAUCAUGCCAGACUCAUCACUUGGAUCUAUCUUUGACUUUCUGUCUACUAUCGAAAAUACGGAAGCAGCAGCAUUCCCGGCUUUACCAGUAUCUGGACCCAUGGAGCUUGUCUGAGAAAUUCCCAUAGCAGCCAUGGUUAAAGCAAAGAAAACCUGAAAACCAAAUAUCCCUUGUCUGAUUAUAAAGUUAACUUGGUCUGAAUGAAUCUCGUUUUAGAUUUGUCCUGUUAGCAAAACACAAACUUUUGAUAAGCUUGUUAAAUAGAGAAGGAAUAUUUACUUGGAAAACAUCUGAGAAUGUUGCUCUUUUAGCCUCAACAAGUCGAGCACCUGCAUAGAAACUGGAAGCAUAGACAAGAAACAGCAAACUAAAAGAUGUCCCAUAUCCUAUUCCAGUGAUCAAGCCUUGCCUUAUCCCUGCCUGCCUUGGGCCUUCACAUUUGGUUUUGUAUAGAUGCAUCACCUUCUCUUCGGCACAGAAAGAAGCAACUGUUCUUAUACUCCCAACUGCAUCAUUAGCAACUUGGCUUGCUUCCUCGUACAUCAUCUGCAACCAUAUAGACUUAUAUUUGGAGGACCCAACUUUGAAAUUAAUUAAUUAGCUGUGCUUAAAAUGGAUGCUUGGAUUUUUUUUGAACUAAAAGCUCUCAAGUGAGCAGGCUGUUCUCUGCAUGACAAUUGGUUGUUUUCAGAUGGCUGAGUCCAUGUUAUUCAAUCAUGAACUUGUAUAGCAUGCUGGAGUCACAGAAAAAGAUGAAGAAGAAUAGGUUAUUAGGUUUAAAGCAGACCUUUGCAUCUUCACUGAAUCCUUUCAUGAACUUUAAUUGAACAUAUCCAUUGAUUCCAAUAAGAGGAAUCAAUGCAAGGACAAUAAAUGCCAACUGCCAACUUGCAACAAAUGCAAUGACCAAACCGGCAACUGCUGAAGCAAUAACAUGAAGCAUCUGACCAAGUGCAUCUCCAACAAGGGCACGCACUGUUGCUGCAUCUGCUGAGAGCCUAGCACCAAUUAAGCCACUUGAGUGCUCAUGCUCAUCAAACCAACCAAUCUCCAUGUGAACCAACUUCUCAAAACACAUCACUCUUAUACGUUCGAUUAACUUACAACCAGCCACAGAAAGGAAGUAUGCUCGUGCUGGAACUGACAGAAAUGAUACCACACCAAGGAUCACAAACAUUAUUGCCCAAAAAUUUGAAUCCUUUCUCAGUUGAUGAGGUGGUUCAAAAAAUGAUUUGAUUACCCUCGACAGCAGUAUGCCAAAUAAUGGAAGUAUUGCGCCAUUGAUGACCGCAGCUAUAGCCCCAAGAAGAAGAAUUGGAAUCUCUGGUUUGUUGAGGUAGGCAAGGCGGCGGAUUGAGACCUUCGGAAACUUUUCUACUGGUUCUGCCACUGAUUUAUCAUGGAUGGGGACUUCUGUGGGCAAACCAAAUGCUGUGAGAGAGAAUGAACGGCCGCUGCUACCAUUCAGCGAUGAUCCCCGACUUGAGGAUCUUAGGAAUGACUUUCUUUGACUGUUUCUCAGACUUGACUGUCUAAACAAUUCAGAAGUAAUUUCGGAUUUGUUUUGAUUGUCUGCAGCUUGUUCUGACUCCUUGUUUGCUUCUUGCAAGCGUAUAAGCUGAAAGUAUGCUCCCUCAGGAUCCUUGACCA